This is a non-coding RNA of Paramuricea clavata, 2000 nucleotides long. The record is from the annotation of a GenBank genome assembly. Lineage: Eukaryota; Metazoa; Cnidaria; Anthozoa; Malacalcyonacea; Plexauridae.
UGUCGCUUUCGCGUGCUUAUUUACAUAUCGUCUUUGUGUGUAUUUUUUUCACUCUAAAUAAGUCCAUAUAAUAUUAAACUGAACAUUAAACGGUUGCGAGAAGAUAUGGAUUUACGUUCUCGUGUCAAAAACAAUAUCUCACUCGUUCGCUGCGCUCACUCGUGAGAUAUUGUUUUUGCCACUCGAACAUAAAAUCCAUAUCUCUUCGCAACUGUCUAAUAUCCUCUAUAAUACUAUAUAUAAGCUCAGCGCUUAUAAUCAGAGGUUUAUACGGUAUAAGCAAAAUUUACUGAAGUUCAGACAUCAUCAUCUCUUUGGUGUAUCAUCUAAAAUCUUUUUAUCAUUAUAGCAUAAUUUUACAGAUAAAGCAUUAUUAAGCAUACUUUUAAACCUUGACGGAGAUCGAGAUCUACAAUCGCGUGCAAAAAUAAUGAGACUAUAUAUUUCGUUCUAUUUCUGUGAUUAUAUACUUUCUUCCUUCCCCUGAAAAAAAAUUUAACCUGGCAAUAUACCUUCGUAUCGUUUGCCCAACAUUCUUUUGGGGGGAGGCGGGCAAUGACUUAGUUGUCUCAAUAAUUUUUGCACAGGAUUGUCUCUAUUUUUGUACUUUUGAAUGUAACGAUGUAAUUUGUUCAUGUUAAUUCAAUUUAUUGCUGCAGGGAAGACGCUGACUUGGAUUUCUUUCUUAAUGAACCUCUUGCUAUAACAUGAGCUGAUCGCUUUUGAUUAGUUGGUGAACAUCUCAUAAGCUUCACCAAUGGUUUUUAGCACAUGCAUGUGGGAAUCCCUACUGCGACACACAGCACCACUUAAUGGAAUGAAUUCUUAAAAUUCCAGAAAGAAAAAAUAUAUCAAAACAAUUUAAAUCAGUGAAUAAAAUAUGUGCGUAAUAUUGUCCAUGAAUGUUAAAAAGUUGUUUGUAUAAAAAUAUAAAUAUCAUUUACAGUCAAUGAUUUUUACCAUGUGAAUAAUUAAUAAAUGUACCGUGACAUGCCAGUUCCACUUAGCACCACUAAAGUGCAGCAGAUGGUGGUCAACUAGAGAUUUUGAUCGACUAAAAUUAUGUUAGUUCUUUACUUCUUUUUCGAGUUAGCUGUUGACCGAUUCCUAAAUCAGGCGCCGCAAUUUCCAUUAUUGUAUAAUUUAUGCAUUACCAUGCAGGCUAAUAAAACCUUUUUUUAGCACGAAUGGUAUUUAAGGCAAGUGCAUAAUUAUAAGAGUUUAAAAAUGCUACAAAGUCCGUAAUGUAAAAAUCGCUUUGUUUACAUUUUGAACUGCUAUAUUUGUAAAAUAUGAUAUACUAACAAACACGUUUCUGGUUCGCUAUGCUUGUAAUGAAUAUAAACAAGACGUUUCAAAUCAAGAAAGUUCGAAAGAUGCAAAAUUUGAGCAAUGUUUAUAUCUGCGGGUCCCCCUUUGUUAUGAGCAGAACUGAUGCGCAGAACGGACUUUACAGCAUCUUUAAAAUUUAAAACGAUCCAUGGAAGCGAAAUUAUAUUUAUAGCCCUAUGAAACGCGCAAAAUGCACCAAAACGAGGCUAGUCAGUCUUCUUUGCUAAAUUUAGCACAAACUCCAAGCUUAAAACUUAAGCUUUAAACUUAAGAUUUAGUUUCUCAAAGAGAAUAAUAACAUGGUAUUAUAGUUACAUUUUGUAAAACGGAUAUGUCAUCAUCAGGCGGCGAUUAUUCUCUUGAUUGAACUAAUUUCAGGAAAAAAAAGAAUAACCAUUUUUCGAACAGUCAAUAUAUCUUUUGGGCUUUUUUUGGAGGCAGAUAUGUUCUGGAUAUGUUCUAUAAUUGCUUGUACAAACGCAUCACAUACAAAGUUGACCAUCAUCUACUGAACUGUGCCGACAAUAAACCAAACCCCCCAACCUCCAAAAUAGAAAUUCUACAAAUAUAAAAACUAAGAUAUGUGCGUUCACUGUAUAAAGCGAAGUCUUCCUUAGUUUACCUAGUUAAUGGAAAUUAAAAUAAACUAAAAUGUAAUUGGAACGCUA